GUCAGUAUGGCCGAGCGGUCAAAGGCGCCAGACUCAAGAUAUACUGUGUCAUCUGGUUCGGGAAACCGAUCGUUGGUUCAAAUCCCACUGCUGACA
RNAcentral lists this transfer RNA (96 nucleotides) under Thelohanellus kitauei. It matches the Rfam family "tRNA". Rfam says of the family: Transfer RNA (tRNA) molecules are approximately 80 nucleotides in length. Their secondary structure includes four short double-helical elements and three loops (D, anti-codon, and T loops). The record is from Rfam by way of RNAcentral. Lineage: Eukaryota; Metazoa; Cnidaria; Myxozoa; Bivalvulida; Myxobolidae.